Molecule: ribosomal RNA, 1527 nt
Filed under: Triticum aestivum (bread wheat)
Lineage: Eukaryota; Viridiplantae; Streptophyta; Magnoliopsida; Poales; Poaceae
Description: partial small subunit ribosomal RNA
Source: RNAcentral
AUGGCGACGGUGCUUCACCAGCUCUCCUUCGCCGCGCCGAGCGCGGGCGCCAGGCGGCGGCAGGCCCGGGCGUCCGCGUCCGCGACGGACCGGCACGAGGUGCUGUCGCCCAAGCGGCGGCUGCCGCUGCGGAAGGUGCCGGGCGAGCACGGCCCGCCGCUGCUGGGCGCGCUCAAGGACCGGCUGGAGUACUUCUACGGGCCCGGCGGGCGCGACGGCUUCUUCGCCGCCCGCGUCCGCGCGCACCGCUCCACGGUGGUGCGCCUCAACAUGCCCCCCGGCCCCUUCGUGGCCAAGGACCCCCGCGUGGUGGCGCUCCUCGACGCCGCCUCCUUCCCGGUCCUCUUCGACACCUCGCUCGUCGACAAGACCGACCUCUUCACCGGCACCUUCAUGCCCUCCACCGACCUCACCGGCGGCUACCGCGUGCUCUCCUACGUCGACCCCGCCGAGCCCAACCACGCGCCGCUCAAGUCGCUCCUCUUCCACCUCCUCACCCACCGCCGCCAGCACGUCAUCCCCACGUUCCGCGAGGUCUAUGGCGGCCUCUUCGGCCGCAUGGAGAACGACCUCGCCCGCGUCGGCAAGGCCGACUUCGGCAGCUACAACGACGACGCCGCCUUCGGCUUCCUCUGCCAGGCGCUCCUCGGCCGCGACCCCGUCGACUCGCCGCUCCGGGACGAAGGGCCCAAGCUGAUCGCCAAGUGGCUGCUGUUCCAGAUCAGCCCGCUGCUCAGCCUCGGCCUGCCCACCCUCGUGGAGGACGGCCUCCUCCACAGCUUCCGCCUCCCGCCGGCGCUCAUCAAGAAGGACUACGGCCGCCUCGCCGACUUCUUCCGCGACGCCGGCAAGGCGGUGAUCGACGAGGGCGAGCGGAUAGGGAUCGCGCGGGAGGAGGCGGUGCACAACAUCCUCUUCGCCAUGUGCUUCAACUCCUUCGGCGGCAUCAAGAUCCUGUUCCCGUCGCUGGUGAAGUGGCUGGGCCGCGCCGGCGGGCGGGUGCACGGCCGGCUCGCGACCGAGGUGCGCGCCGCCGUACGCGCCAACGGCGGGGAGGUGACGAUGCAGGCGCUGGCCGAGAUGCCGCUGGUGAAGUCGGCCGUGUACGAGGCGCUGCGGAUCGAGCCGCCGGUGGCGAUGCAGUACGGGCGGGCGAAGCGGGACAUGGUGGUGGAGAGCCACGACUACGGGUACGAGGUGCGGGAGGGGGAGCUGCUGUUCGGGUACCAGCCCAUGGCCACCAAGGACCCGCGCGUGUUCCCGCGCGCCGAGGACUACGUGCCCGACAGGUUCCUAGGGGAGGACGGCGAGCGGCUGCUCCGGUACGUGGUGUGGUCCAACGGGCCCGAGUCGGCGACGCCCACGCUGCAGGACAAGCAGUGCGCCGGCAAGGACUUCGUGGUGCUCAUCGCGCGCCUGCUCGUCGCCGAGCUCUUCCUCCGGUACGACUCCUUGGACGUCCAGGUCGGGUCCUCGCCGCUGGGGUCGUCGGUCACCAUCACCUCGCUCAAGAAGGCCACCUUCUGA